GCCGGGGUAGUGUAGCUGGUGCGCACGGAUGUCUGAAAAACAUCAAGACGCAGUUCGAUUCUGCGCCCCGGCA
This 73-nucleotide transfer RNA is filed under the name Candidatus Parcubacteria bacterium. RNAcentral describes it as "tRNA-Phe". It matches the Rfam family "tRNA". Rfam says of the family: Transfer RNA (tRNA) molecules are approximately 80 nucleotides in length. Lineage: Bacteria; Candidatus Parcubacteria. The record is from RNAcentral.